RNAcentral lists this ribosomal RNA (433 nucleotides) under uncultured bacterium. Its description in RNAcentral is "partial 16S ribosomal RNA". It matches the Rfam family "Bacterial small subunit ribosomal RNA", at positions 29 to 507 of the family's 1533-position model. The record is from RNAcentral.
AACGAACGCUGGCGGCAUGCUUAACACAUGCAAGUCGAACGAGACCUUCGGGCCGAGUGCCCCACGGGCGCGUAACGCGUGGGAACCUGCCUUAAGGUUCGGAAUAACUCCCAGAACGGGCUGCUACUACCGGUAAAUGCCUAUGGACCAAAGCUUUAGCGCCUUUGGAUGGGCCCGGGUUGGCUUAGCUAGUUGGUGGGGGAAAAGCCCACCAAGGCGACGAUCCAUUGCUGUUCUGAGGGGAUGAUCAGCAACACUGGGACUGAGACACGGCCCAGUCUCCGACGGGAGGCAGCAGUGGGGAGUAUUGGACGAUGGGCGAAAGCCUGAUCCAGCAAUGCCGCGGAAGUGAUGAAUGCCUUAGGGUUGUAAAGCUCUUUUACCCGGGAUGAUAAUGACAGUACCUGGAGAAUAAGCUCCGGCUAACUCCGUG